UGGGGAAUCUUGCGCAAUGGGCGAAAGCCUGACGCAGCGACGCCGCGUGGGGGAUGAAGCUUUUCGGAGUGUAAACCCCUUUCGACCCGGAAGAAAGCCCGCAAGGGUCUGACGGUACGGGUAUAAGAAGCCCCGGCUAACUACGUGCCAGCAGCCGCGGUAAAACGUAGGGGGCCAGCGUUGCUCGGAAUUACUGGGCGUAAAGGGUCUGUAGGCGGUGCGGCAAGUCGGAAGUGAAAUCCCAGGGCUUAACUCUGGGGCUGCUCCCGAAACUGCUGUGCUAGAGUGUGAGAUAGGCGAGUGGAAUUGCAGGUGUAGCGGUGAAAUGCGUAGAUAUCUGCAGGAACAUCCGAGGCGAAAGCGGCUCGCUGGAUCACAACUGACGCUGAGAGACGAAAGCUAGGGGAGCAAACAGGAUUAGAUACCCUGGUAGUCCUAGCCCUAAACGAUCAGGACUUGGCGUGAGCCCUGUACGGGGCUCGUGCCGAAGCUAACGCGAUAAGUCCUGCGCCUGGGGAGUACGGUCGCAAGGCUG
This 535-nucleotide ribosomal RNA is filed under the name uncultured bacterium. Its description in RNAcentral is "bacterial SSU rRNA". It matches the Rfam family "Bacterial small subunit ribosomal RNA", at positions 355 to 896 of the family's 1533-position model. The record is from RNAcentral.